UAGGGAAUCUUCCGCAAUGGGCGAAAGCCUGACGGAGCAACGCCGCGUGAGUGAUGAAGGUCUUCGGAUCGUAAAACUCUGUUAUUAGGGAAGAACAAAUGUGUAAGUAACUAUGCACGUCUUGACGGUACCUAAUCAGAAAGCCACGGCUAACUACGUGCCAGCAGCCGCGGUAAUACGUAGGUGGCAAGCGUUAUCCGGAAUUAUUGGGCGUAAACCGCGCGUCGGCGGUUUUUUAAGUCUGAUGUGAAAGCCCCCGGCUCAACCGUGGAGGGUCAUUGGAAACUGGAGAACUGGAGUGCAGAAGAAGAAGGUCGAAUUCCAUGUGUAGCGGUGAAAUGCGCAGAGUAAUGUAGGAAGAACAGUGGCGGAGGCGACUUUCUGGUCUGUAACUGACGCUGAUGCGCGAAGGCAUGGGGAUCAAACAGG
Molecule: ribosomal RNA, 429 nt
Filed under: Actinomycetes bacterium
Lineage: Bacteria; Bacillati; Actinomycetota; Actinomycetes
Description: Actinobacteria bacterium partial 16S ribosomal RNA
Rfam family: Bacterial small subunit ribosomal RNA
Source: RNAcentral